GUCUCUGGAUGUAGUUGAUAAAUUUUUUUCGACGAAAAGAGCAGGCGGUGGGGAGCCUUCUUGCCCCUCUGGGACA
Molecule: long non-coding RNA, 76 nt
Organism: Hippocampus comes (tiger tail seahorse)
Lineage: Eukaryota; Metazoa; Chordata; Actinopteri; Syngnathiformes; Syngnathidae
Exons: 3
Source: RefSeq, a predicted model, not a curated record